CCUACGGGUGGCAGCAGUGGGGAAUAUUGGACAAUGGGCGAAAGCCUGAUCCAGCCAUGCCGCGUGUGUGAAGAAGGCCUUCGGGUUGUAAAGCACUUUCAGUGGGGAAGAAAGCCUUGGGGCUAAUACCCUCGAGGAAGGACAUCACCCACAGAAGAAGCACCGGCUAACUCCGUGCCAGCAGCCGCGGUAAUACGGAGGGUGCGAGCGUUAAUCGGAAUUACUGGACAUAAAGCGCGCGUAGGCGGUCUGAUAAGCCGGUUGUGAAAGCCCCGGGCUCAACCUGGGAACGGCAUCCGGAACUGUCAGGCUAGAGUGCAGGAGAGGAAGGUAGAAUUCCCGGUGUAGCGGUGAAAUGCGUAGAGAUCGGGAGGAAUACCAGUGGCGAAGGCGGCCUUCUGGACUGACACUGACGCUGAGGUGCGAAAGCGUGGGUAGCAAACAGGAUUAGAUACCCGUGUAUC
RNAcentral lists this ribosomal RNA (464 nucleotides) under Vreelandella stevensii. RNAcentral's name for it is "partial 16S ribosomal RNA". It matches the Rfam family "Bacterial small subunit ribosomal RNA", at positions 338 to 794 of the family's 1533-position model. Lineage: Bacteria; Pseudomonadati; Pseudomonadota; Gammaproteobacteria; Oceanospirillales; Halomonadaceae. The record is from RNAcentral.